AGAGUUUGAUCCUGGCUCAGAACGAUUUCUGGCGGCGCGUCUUAAGCAUGCAAGUCGGGCGGGAUCCAUGCGCUUGCGCAUGGUGAGAGCGGCGGACUGGCGAGUAACACGUGGGCGACGCGCCCUCCGGACGGGAAUAGCCUGUAGAAAAUACAGGGUAAUGCCGGAUGCGAACGCGCGCGCUGGAGGCGCGCGUGGAAAGCCCCCACGGGGGCGCCGGAGGAGCGGCCCGCGGCCCAUCAGCUUGUAGGCGGUGCAAGGGACCACCUAGGCUACGACGGGUACCCGGCCUCAGAGGGCGGACGGGCGCAUUGGGACUGAGAUACGGCCCAGACUCCUACGGGAGGCAGCAGCUAAGAAUAUUCCGCAAUGGGGGGAACCCUGACGGAGCGACGCCGCGUGGGCGAGGAAGGCCGGAAGGUUGUAAAGCCCUUUUGCGCGCGAGGAAUAAGGGGAGGAGGGAAUGCCUUCCCGGUGACUGUAGCGCGCGAAUAAGCGCCGGCUAAUUACGUGCCAGCAGCCGCGGUAACACGUAAGGCGCGAGCGUUGUUCGGAAUCAUUGGGCGUAAAGGGCGUGUAGGCGGCCCUGCAAGCCUGGCGUGAAAUCCCGGGGCUCAACCCCGGAACCGCGCUGGGAACUGCUGGGCUGGAGCCGCUGUGGCGCAGCCGGAAUUCCAGGUGUAGGGGUGAAAUCUGUAGAUAUCUGGAAGAACACCGAUGGCGAAGGCAGGCUGCGAGCGGACGGCUGACGCUGAGGCGCGAAGGCGCGGGGAGCGAACAGGAUUAGAUACCCUGGUAGUCCGCGCAGUAAACGCUAAACAGUGGGUGUCCGAGCAUGAGCCCGGGUGCCGAAGAGAACACGAUUAAGUGUACCGCAUGGGGAGUAUGCCCGCAAGGGUGAAACUCAAAGAAAUUGACGGGGUCCCGCACAAGCGGAGGAACAUGUGGUUUAAUUCGAUGAUACGCGAGGAACCUUACCCGGGCUAGAAUUACAGCGGAAGGAUACAGAGAUGUUGACGCCCUUCGGGGUCGCUGUGAAGGUGCUGCAUGGUUGUCGUCAGCUCGUGCCGUGAGGUGUCGGUUUAAGUGCCAUAACGAGCGCAACCCCUCUCCGUAGUUGCCAUCGGGUAAUGCCGGGCACUCUGCGGACACUGCCACCGUAAGGUGUGAGGAAGGUGGGGAUGACGUCAAAUCAGCACGGCCCUUACGUCCGGGGCUACACACGUGUUACAAUGGGGCAUACAGAGCGCCGGCGGCCGGCAACGUCCGUCCAAUCGCGAAAGUGUCCCCCAGUUCGGACUGGGGUCUGCAACCCGACCCCAGGAAGCUGGUUUCGCUGGUAUUCGCGCUUCAGC
Molecule: ribosomal RNA, 1355 nt
Filed under: uncultured bacterium
Lineage: Bacteria
Description: bacterial SSU rRNA
Rfam family: Bacterial small subunit ribosomal RNA
Source: RNAcentral